Molecule: small RNA, 213 nt
Filed under: Chania multitudinisentens RB-25
Lineage: Bacteria; Pseudomonadati; Pseudomonadota; Gammaproteobacteria; Enterobacterales; Yersiniaceae
Description: GlmZ RNA activator of glmS mRNA
Rfam family: GlmZ RNA activator of glmS mRNA
About the family: This RNA was discovered in E. coli during a large scale screen. The sraJ gene was expressed in early logarithmic phase, but its level decreased with cell growth.
Source: Rfam by way of RNAcentral
GUAGAUGCUCAUUCUAUUAUCUUAUGUUCGCCUUACGGCCUCAUAAACCCAGGAAUGAUGCAGAGCCAAUUUUAGGGUGCCUAUUGUCCACCAGAACGAUGAAAGCGAUGGCUUCAUCACACUUCGGGCAUAACGUUGAGUGAGGCACCUCCCCUGUUGUUCUAGACCUGAUUGCUUUUUUAAUACACUUGCCAAUAUGGCAAGUGUUUUUUU